UGAGGAAUAUUGGUCAAUGGGCGGAAGCCUGAACCAGCCAAGUCGCGUGAGGGAAGACGGCCCUAAGGGUUGUAAACCUCUUUUGCCGGGGAGCAAAAGCGCCGUGCGCGGUGCUAUGAGAGUACCCGGAGAAAAAGCAUCGGCUAACUCCGUGCCAGCAGCCGCGGUAAUACGGAGGAUGCGAGCGUUAUCCGGAUUUAUUGGGUUUAAAGGGUGCGUAGGCGGACAGUUAAGUCAGCGGUCAAAACGGGCGGCUCAACCGCCUGCCGCCGUUGAAACUGGCAGUCUAGAGUGGGCGAGAAGUACGCGGAAUGCGCGGUGUAGCGGUGAAAUGCUUAGAUAUCACGAAGAACCCCGAUUGCGAAGGCAGCCUACCGUAGCGGCACUGACGCUGAGGCUCGAAAGCGUGGGUAUCGAACAGGAUUAGAUACCCUGGUAGU
This 440-nucleotide ribosomal RNA is filed under the name uncultured Barnesiella sp. Its description in RNAcentral is "bacterial SSU rRNA". It matches the Rfam family "Bacterial small subunit ribosomal RNA", at positions 355 to 794 of the family's 1533-position model. The record is from RNAcentral. Lineage: Bacteria; Pseudomonadati; Bacteroidota; Bacteroidia; Bacteroidales; Barnesiellaceae.